This 260-nucleotide unclassified non-coding RNA is filed under the name air metagenome. Its description in RNAcentral is "partial contains small subunit ribosomal RNA, internal transcribed spacer 1, and 5.8S ribosomal RNA". The stretch from base 1 to 46 matches the Rfam family "Eukaryotic small subunit ribosomal RNA", at positions 1786 to 1831 of the family's 1831-position model. The record is from RNAcentral.
AAGUCGUAACAAGGUUUCCGUAGGUGAACCUGCGGAAGGAUCAUUACCGAGUUAGGGUCUUCUAGGCCCGAUCUCCCACCCUUUGUUGUCGAACAAAUUCUUGUUGCUUUGGCGGGACCGCCUCGUCUUCGGACGGGCUGCCGGGUUCUUGCGAUCGGGUAAGCGCCCGCCAGAGACCAACUAAACUCUUCGUUAAAACAUUCGUCUGAGUAAAAUGAUUAAAUCAAUCAAAACUUUCAACAACGGAUCUCUUGGUUCUG